GACGAACGCUGGCGGCGUGCUUAACACAUGCAAGUCGAACGGAAAGGCCCUGCUUUUGUGGGGUGCUCGAGUGGCGAACGGGUGAGUAACACGUGAGUAACCUGCCCUUGACUUUGGGAUAACUUCAGGAAACUGGGGCUAAUACCGGAUAGGAGCUCCUGCUGCAUGGUGGGGGUUGGAAAGUUUCGGCGGUUGGGGAUGGACUCGCGGCUUAUCAGCUUGUUGGUGGGGUAGUGGCUUACCAAGGCUUUGACGGGUAGCCGGCCUGAGAGGGUGACCGGCCACAUUGGGACUGAGAGACGGCCCAGACUCCUACGGGAGGCAGCGGUGGGGAGUAUUGCACAAUGGGCGGAAGCCUGAUGCAGCAACGCCGCGUGCGGGAUGACGGCCUUCGGGUUGUAAACCGCUUUCGCCUGUGACGAAGCGUGAGUGACGGUAAUGGGUAAAGAAGCACCGGCUAACUACGUG
This 468-nucleotide ribosomal RNA is filed under the name uncultured bacterium. Its description in RNAcentral is "partial 16S ribosomal RNA". It matches the Rfam family "Bacterial small subunit ribosomal RNA", at positions 28 to 507 of the family's 1533-position model. The record is from RNAcentral.